AGUGGAAGCGUCUGGAAAGGUGCGCGAUACAGGGUGACAGCCCCGUACACAAAAGCGCAUGUGCUGUGAGCUCGAUGAGUAGGGCGGGACACGUGGUAUCCUGUCUGAAUAUGGGGGGACCAUCCUCCAAGGCUAAAUACUCCUGACUGACCGAUAGUGAACCAGUACCGUGAGGGAAAGGCGAAAAGAACCCCGGCGAGGGGAGUGAAAAAGAACCUGAAACCGUGUACGUACAAGCAGUGGGAGCAC
RNAcentral lists this ribosomal RNA (249 nucleotides) under Salmonella enterica subsp. enterica serovar Typhimurium. Its description in RNAcentral is "partial 23S ribosomal RNA". It matches the Rfam family "Bacterial large subunit ribosomal RNA", at positions 331 to 582 of the family's 2925-position model. Lineage: Bacteria; Pseudomonadati; Pseudomonadota; Gammaproteobacteria; Enterobacterales; Enterobacteriaceae. The record is from RNAcentral.